CUUCAUGCAUCCUCGCGACUAAUGACAACCCUAACCCGCCCCAUUGCGGAUAAAGCCUCUCAUUAGCCGCGCGAACCUCUGCAGUGAAGACAUACAUGGCAACAAUACAUUAGUUUACUGCCAAUUGCUGCCGCCUGGUUGAAAAAAGGGGCCAUAAAGGCCCCUUCUU
Molecule: small RNA, 169 nt
Filed under: Kosakonia radicincitans
Lineage: Bacteria; Pseudomonadati; Pseudomonadota; Gammaproteobacteria; Enterobacterales; Enterobacteriaceae
Also listed under: 2 other names
Description: SraG RNA
Rfam family: SraG RNA
About the family: This RNA was discovered in E. coli during a large scale screen. Evidence was found for specific cleavage of this RNA.
Source: RNAcentral